GUCCACGCCGUAAACGUUGGGCACUAGGUGUGGGUUUCAACCAACGAAAUCCGCGCCGUCGCUAACGCAUUAAGUGCCCCGCCUGGGGAGUACGGCCGCAAGGUUAAAACUCAAAGGAAUUGACGGGGGCCCGCACAAGCAGCGGAGCGUGUUGCUUAAUUCGAUGCAACGCGAAGAACCUUACCUGGGCUUGACAUGUACGGAAAAGCUGUAGAGAUACAGUGUCCUUAGGGGCCGUACACAGGUGGUGCAUGGCUGUCGU
This 262-nucleotide ribosomal RNA is filed under the name uncultured bacterium. RNAcentral describes it as "partial 16S ribosomal RNA". It matches the Rfam family "Bacterial small subunit ribosomal RNA", at positions 793 to 1055 of the family's 1533-position model. The record is from RNAcentral.